Long non-coding RNA from Triticum aestivum (bread wheat), 3562 nucleotides. RefSeq lists it as uncharacterized. The transcript is spliced from 4 exons. Lineage: Eukaryota; Viridiplantae; Streptophyta; Magnoliopsida; Poales; Poaceae. The record is from RefSeq and is a predicted model, not a curated record.
GUUGAAAAGGAGAAAAAGAAAAACAACCCCACCCCGCACGACCCACUAACCCAUGCCCACCACCACCGCCGCUUCGUUCCCCAUGUCGGCGGCCUCUCUACACUGCGCGCCGCCCUCCUCCUUCCCCGACGCCGGCCGCCUCCCUCCACCACGCGCCGCCGUCCUCCUUCCCCGACGCCGGUCGCCGCCCUCCACCACGCGCCGCCCUCCUCCUUCCUCGGUGCUGGCCGCCUCCCUCCACUACGCGCCGCUCGUCCUUCCCCGGUGCCGGUCGCCUCCCUCCACCAUGCGCCGCCCUCCUCCUUCCCCGGCGUCGGCCGUCUGCCUCCACCACGCGCCGCCCUCCUCCUUCCCCUGCGCCGGCCACCUACCUCCAUCGUGCAGAUCCACGCCAUCCCGGCACUCCUCCUUCAUCCUGCUGCGAGAUCUCGUGCGCCGCCCUCUCGCAGUCGGUGAUGCUUCCCCGCCACCACUCCGCCUCCAUCCCGAUGGGGCAACGAUGCUGCGCGUACAGGAAGUUCAUCGCCGCCACCUCAGGCCGUUCAAUGUCGACGUCUUGGACGCGCCAAGCUCCAACGCCAUGGCUUCGGCUUCAACAGCAAAUAAUGGAGCCUGCAGGGGGAGCCACAGGGUCGAGGACAUCUAGUUCGAUAGUCCAACUGCUUGCUCGGCCGUCGGUCACUCAAGGAGCUUGUCAUUCCCUACCAUGAAACCAUCAAGCGUGUGCUAAUUGUGACUGAGGUUGCACUGCCCAGCAAUACAGGCAGCAAUUUCACACUACAGCUCCACCCAAUACUGUAAAAAUGCAUGAGUCCAAUGCCCUGUGGCCUAGCUGACCGAAUUAGCAUGCAAGCUUCUCCUUUCACCAUGAAAUAAAUGAUAGAUUCAACAGUUGCUAGGUAAAUCGCAAAUCUAUUUACUACAUGUAUCACUACCCUACAUUCAUGUUGUCAGAAAAGUCCAUGUAUUACUACCAUGGGAGUUCAAAGAAAGGUCGUCUAUGAAACAGUAUAACUUGUGAGUUUCUUGCAGACUAAUGAUGAGUUACUAGAUAAACUUAGGCACCACAGUCCAUUCACUGUCCGUAUAACACCGCCGCCAGAGGCCGUUCAAUGUCCCAACGCCUCCUUCCUAGUCAUCGUGAGGUACGCCCUACUCGAAAUCUUUCCUCUCCAUCUCCCGACAGUGAAGAUUUUCAUGCCCUGCGUUCGAACUGCCAUUUUAUUUUGUAUUGAACUAGCGCUGCUCUUGCUUCAGACCUGAGGGAAGAAGGAAGAACCUCUCUCUUGUAGGCAGUAAUAUUGCUCUCUCAUAUCAUCUCUCAUCUCGUAGGCAGUAAAUAUUUUGAUGAAUGUGUUACUCAAAAAACAAAAUGUUGUAUUGACAUUCAGUAGCUUAGAGAGAGUAGCAUAGAGAAACGUUGUUGUGUUUUGGAUGACAAAGAACACAUGUGACACUAAGUCCAGGUAUUUCUACAUGAGGAGUACAAAAUUACUUUUACUGAGAGUCCACUUGAAUCCUUGAUAGCUACUGGCCAUAGGAACUUAACCCAGAAAAAAUGUGCAAAAAAGAACCAUUUUGUACUACCAUUAGUCGUAGAUGCUGUGUAAUGUUUUAUUUUUUUGCUACCCUAGCAUUGAAUUAUCACAUCAUUUUCAAGAGCCGCACUCUCAUUAUUUAUUUCUUGUACUGUUAGUUUUAUUUUCAGAACCGAACUUGUACAGGGUACAUGAGUUCCAAUAGUGGUCUCCGUUGCAAUUUUUUUACAUAAUCAAGCAUUCUUGUUGUGUUGCCUUUCUUUCCAGAUAUAUAGAUUGCCAGUUUUGAAUCCGAUUCUCAAAUAGACAAUCAUAAUUCUAUUGCCAGUUCUGAAAUAAAGAAAUGUUUGCGUAACAGUACCAUAACAGCACCAAAACGAAUCCUCAGCCUUGGUAACUUACUGGCUUUGAUCUUCCAGGGCAGCAUUAUGAGAUCCUUGGUUUACUUACAGGUAUGCCAUCAGUUCAAACCUAACACAGAAACUUGUGCCGCUACUACUUUGCCACCUAGAGUAGUACUGCUACUACUUAUCAUGUUGAUAAAACCUCGCGAACAGUAAAUCUAUUUGAUUAACGAUUCUGUAGGGAGAAAAAGUUCACCAAUAUACAAUCUCUAAUCUCAAUAUACCAAACUUUUUGUUUAGUAGUUGGCACUGUUCAAGUUUAUUUCUUGAUGUAUACAUGAUGUCCAAAUUCUUCUUUCAGUUCGGUUCAAUUUAUAAACUUCAUUCAGUUCGGCGAGGUGGAGAUUGGGGCACGGUGGGGUGUGGCCGUGUGUGUGGAGAUGGCCCGCUGCAACGUCACCGUCCGGAUCCCGCUCUUCAGUGUAUGUUUUGUAUGCUUUUUAGUUCACCUACUUAACAACUGCAAGUCUAAUUUCCUCCUUGUUUCCAUGUUCUUCCUGUAGCACAACAGGUGUUAUGCCUAUAUGGAUCAAAAGAAGCACGUGUUCUUUCCUAUUCUUACAAAUGAACCUCCACUUCUGUUCUGUUUGAACUUACUUGGCAUAAAAAUUAGUAUUUGUUCUACUGUAAAAAAACAUAAAAUGAAAUGUCUUGGUGCAUGAUCGAAGGUGCAUAUGGAAGCAUCCCCAUGCCAAUUGCAAUGGUUUCCAGGACGUGACAUCCAUACUUUUGGUUAUGAACUAAUGAUGUAUUAGUGCAUGAACUAAUGCAUCACAUAUGUUGUUUCUUUCCAGGCUACUCUAGAUUAGAACAAGUUAAAAGUACUUAGUUUCUCAAUAGUCUGGUCCUCCUCACCAGAUGUUAUGUAGUACACAUCUUUUUAAUACAAAUGUUUUAAAAGUUUCUUUUUGAACUUCUCCCAAUUAAUAUACCUGAACUUGAUUAUCUUUCUAACAUGUACAUAUACCAACUUCAUUAGAUUUUGUGUCAGUGCUUGUAACACAAUCAGUUCAGAUCUCGAUAGACCACAAGUUCAAGUUCACUAGUAUUUGUAAAUGUUGGUAGCAGUACUAGUAUUUAGAAAUUUGUAACCUAAGAACUAAGCUUGCAUCUUGUUACUUCUAUGGAAGCAUUGACCUCGUAAUUUUAUUGGACCAACCACUAACAUAAGAAUUAGACAUGGUGCUCAGUGUAUUCUCUCAAUCUUGGUUCUUCUUAUAGUGCUUAUAAUCUUGACAUCUUUGAUGAAUCCAGCCCGAACUGAAGCAUGUCGGCGAGCCGGGCCUCAAAAGGCCCUUCUCCCGCCACUGUCUCGAUCUUGAACUGAUGUUGUUGUCAUCUGUCUACCUCCUUCCUCGGUUGAUGAAGAUGCUGAUUUUACAAAAGGAUCAGUGAAGCAUUGGGCAAUGGACACACUAUCUUCAUGAGAUGGUGUAGACAUACUUCCAUUAGUUGAAGAUGAUACAUGGAGCAGUGACCGCUCAACACUUCUUUUUGUGAUAAAUGUUAUUAUGAUCUAUUCUAUGUAUUAUAUUGUAUGAUCGGGAGAACUCAGAAGUUCAUGUGUUGUCAGUGAAAAAUUUCAAAACAUUUUGUUUAGUAAGAACUUUUUUUAUCAAA